Molecule: long non-coding RNA, 325 nt
Filed under: Chloebia gouldiae (Gouldian finch)
Lineage: Eukaryota; Metazoa; Chordata; Aves; Passeriformes; Passeridae
Description: Erythrura gouldiae (Gouldian finch) lncRNA (ENSEGOG00005003968.1)
Source: RNAcentral
CUGAAACAGACUCCAAGCCAUGACAUUAAACGUGUUUGUUGUUUAUUUUCCUUUUCUUUCUUCCUUUUCCCCUUAGGGAAUUCCAGGAAUGGCUGGCAGUAUUGGGGCAGUUGGUUACCCUGGCAGGCAGGGCCUAGCUGGACCAGAAGGUAACCCAGGUCCUAAAGGAGUAAGAGGUUUCAUUGGACCUCCAGGUGUGGCAGGACAACCAGGACCUGAAGGAGAAAGGGUAGGUCUAAUGGAACAUUGAUGUUUGUGUGGUAAUGCAAUAUAUGUUAGGAUGGGAGAAAAUGUACAAGGUUUAACCAUUCAUUCAUUUGUUUGG